CCAGGUAAUAAGAGCAGCAGAAGCAGACUCUCUGCGGACGUGCUACUUCACAGAGAGAUUUACUGACAGCCCUCAACGCGGCCGGCGCAUAUAAAAACACCUCUUUAUUAUCCCAUAAAAGAGAAACAGCAUUGGACCAACAUUGUUCAGCACGACGCUCUGACUUUCUUCCUGCACAAUCAAAUUACACAACAAGAGACAAACUUUGGACACAAUGGGUUUUAGAAAUGAGACAUUACGAAGGAGCGAAUUUUCAGGGAAUCCCUACAGCCAUCCACAGUACACAACCUAUAAUGAAGCCUGGAGAUUUAGCAACCCAGCAAUACUGAGUUCCCCCUAUUAUUAUAGUGCAUCCCGAGGCUCCGCCACUGCCUAUGACCGCCACUAGUUACCACAGAAACCAAAUCAGGCGGCACGCCCAUGGACUCAGACUUCAUAUUCUGCCAGUGUGAGCAGUGCAGCUGAUUGAACAGAGUGGUUUCAUGCAGUCACAUGAUGAAGAAUAGACCAAUCAGGAACAAAAACAUCUCGACGACAAUUCAGCCAGUCGCACGAGCCUCAAACCGACAAACGAACAAUAAAUGUAUAACUCAAAGACUGAGGGUAAAUAUGAUUUUUAAAACAAAAUUAACAUCUGCUUUUUUAAUACUUUUAUAUUUUGUCCGUUCAUUAAUAUUAUUCAUAGGUAUUCAUACUUAAAGAGGUUCUAGCAUAUAUAUGUAUUUGUUUGUUUGGAUAGACACUGAAAUGAAUGAUAUCAACGGUUGGACAUUUUCUAAAAUGAAAAUUGCUAAUACAGUGGGUACGGAAAGUAUUCAGAC
Molecule: long non-coding RNA, 821 nt
Organism: Sinocyclocheilus grahami
Lineage: Eukaryota; Metazoa; Chordata; Actinopteri; Cypriniformes; Cyprinidae
Exons: 3
Source: RefSeq, a predicted model, not a curated record